RNAcentral lists this long non-coding RNA (770 nucleotides) under Ananas comosus (pineapple). Its description in RNAcentral is "long non-coding RNA (ACOM_LNC025010)". The record is from RNAcentral. Lineage: Eukaryota; Viridiplantae; Streptophyta; Magnoliopsida; Poales; Bromeliaceae.
GAACUCCAGCCGCUGGAAUUCUACCUUAUCGGCUACGGCGGCGAAGGAGAAGAAGGGGAAAUGGUGAUCAAAAUUUUUUUUUUUCUUUUCUAUUUGUAAUGGGGCCGAGUAGGCUGGGUGGGAUUGAUUGAAUAGAGAAACUUUUUAUUUUAGAUUAGAUUAGAUUUUAUAUUUAGAUAUUAGUAGAUUUUUUUAAAAAAAAAUUGGUAUAAAUAGGACACUUACAUAAAAGUGUCCCAAAAAUGUGUUUCUAUAACCUAAUUUUGUUGUAGUAUUGGUGCUACCAAAUUUUCUGCCGUUUUAUCAGCUCCUUUAAUUAUUUUCACCCGUUAGACUAUACUAUUCAACCAACCACCCACUCAACCCUAGAGACCACUAUCAUCUUAACCAUACAUCGAUUCAUCCAAGAGUCAAAAACUUAAUAGUACUAAUGAUGUAGUGCUAUUAAUAUUUUUCUAACCUAAUUCUAUAUAUAUAUAUAUAUAUAUAUAUAUAUAUAGAAGUGUAGAACUAGGCUACUAUGCUAUUAAUAGCACCAAGUCAUUGGUGCUAUUAAGUUUUUGGCCAUUGAAUUAAGAGAUGUGUGCUUAGGAUGAUGUGGGCCUCCUAGGGUUGAGUGGGUGGUUGGUUGAAUAGUAUGAUCUAACGGAUGAAAAUGAUAAAAAUGGUAGAUCUAACAGCAGAAAACUUAGUAGCACCAAGUGUUUUGUGCUAUUAAUAGCAUAAUAGCCGAACUCAUAUAUAUAUAUAUAUAUAUAUAUAUAUAUAUA